This is a long non-coding RNA of Carassius auratus (goldfish), 386 nucleotides long. RefSeq lists it as uncharacterized. The transcript is spliced from 4 exons. Lineage: Eukaryota; Metazoa; Chordata; Actinopteri; Cypriniformes; Cyprinidae. The record is from RefSeq and is a predicted model, not a curated record.
AUAUCAUGGUGGGAAAAAUCGAAUGUUAUCAUGGUCCAACUUGAAAACAGACAUGUUCCUACAGUAUAAUGCAUUCAUACGCCUCAAAUUUGCCAUUUGGUGUCAGGAGAGACUCUGAGGACUGCUUCUUUUCACUGUAGAGCUGCAAAAUCCCCAGCAGAGGUUUUGGAGCAGCAUGAGGGGAGGCAUAUUGCAAGCUGUUGGGUAGCCUGUGCAUCUUGUGCUGAGAAUGAUCUUGAAGGUCUUCGUGUAUGGCAUGAUCAGCUUUCAGUGGAGAUUCUGAUUGCUUCCUGGCCUGGAAAAGACUUUUAAAGAAUCUUGAGGGGAUGAAGUUGGAUUCAUGUCAUUUCCUGAGUGCGUAUGGCAAACACGCUAUUUGCUGAUAA